UACGUAGGGUGCGAGCGUUAAUCGGAAUUACUGGGCGUAAAGCGUGCGCAGGCGGGCUUUUAAGCCAGACGUGAAAUCCCCGGGCUUAACCUGGGAAUGGCGUUUGGGACUGGGAGUCUGGAGUGCGGCAGAGGAGACUGGAAUUCCUGGUGUAGCAGUGAAAUGCGUAGAUAUCAGGAGGAACACCGAUGGCGAAGGCAGGUCUCUGGGCUGACACUGACGCUCAUGCACGAAAACGUGGGGAGCAAACAGG
This 253-nucleotide ribosomal RNA is filed under the name uncultured bacterium. RNAcentral describes it as "partial 16S ribosomal RNA". It matches the Rfam family "Bacterial small subunit ribosomal RNA", at positions 524 to 776 of the family's 1533-position model. The record is from RNAcentral.